RNAcentral lists this small nuclear RNA (23 nucleotides) under Arabidopsis thaliana (thale cress). RNAcentral's name for it is "snRNA_17416". The record is from RNAcentral. Lineage: Eukaryota; Viridiplantae; Streptophyta; Magnoliopsida; Brassicales; Brassicaceae.
UGAAAAGACAGUGUUGCCCUACA